UGCGCAGGCGGUUCGUUAAGUUCGAUGUGAAAGCCCCGGGCUCAACCUGGGAAUUGCAUUGGAAACUGGCGGCUUGAGUGUGGCAGAGGGGGGUGGGAAUUCCACGUAUAGCAGUGAAAUGCGUAGAGAUGUGGAGGAACACCGAUGGCGAAGGCAGCCCCCUGGGCUAACACUGACGCUCAGGCACGAAAGCGUGGGGGAGCAAACA
Molecule: ribosomal RNA, 208 nt
Filed under: uncultured bacterium
Lineage: Bacteria
Description: partial 16S ribosomal RNA
Rfam family: Bacterial small subunit ribosomal RNA
Source: RNAcentral